The sequence is a transfer RNA, 87 nucleotides long. It matches the Rfam family "tRNA". From Rfam's summary of the family: Transfer RNA (tRNA) molecules are approximately 80 nucleotides in length. The record is from Rfam.
GCCCUUGUAGCGUAGGGGUUAUCGCGUCAUACUUGUAAUUCAUAUUAUGUCAUAUGAAGGUCACCAGUUCGAAUCUGGUCGGGGGCA